UUGAAUUUGAUAUUCAAUUAUUUAACUCAUUUCGUUUUCUUCAAUUUGUUUAAAACGCAUCGAACUGACUCCCGACUGAGUAUUAACUAACUAAAAAUAAACACCAACUUUGUAUCAGUGGUCGGUUUUAUAAGAACUAAUUAAAUUAUUGGAAUAAAGUAUAGCCUUUCAAAACUUACAUGAAAGAAUAAACAUAUCUGCUCUAGUAAUAUUUAAUCAAAGAACGGGUCACAAGUAUAGGUACUUUACAUUGGAGCAAUCGGUAGGUAUACUGUGCUGUAUUAUUGUUAAAUCAUAGAGACUUUUUUCUCAGUGCAAGUAAUAAUGUCUUCUUUAAUUCUAUAAGGCAAUAUUAAAUUUUUCGCCGACCUAAGCGCCAGCCUACUUAGCCUACUGGUUAAUCCACCACUGGUAACAUUAAAAGUGUAGUAGUGGGUAGGUACGUUAGUAGGUGCUGCGGUUGCAUUCCUUAUCACCGUGAGGUGUAAUAGAGCUUUCUGUUAAUUUAUAAAGGAUAUGAGAUAAUAAGGGUUUGAGAUAAUAACCAUUAAUUCAUUACAAACUUGUAAUUGUAUAGCAUUUUUAUUUCACUUCCAGCCCAUCACGAGCCUUCUACACCUAUCAUGUUAUUGGCUCAAGGAACGGGCGUGCUGUCCAUAGAUCUUGAGAACCACACUCACAUUUUUCUCAACAAUCUGUCGGCGGUUGGAGAUGACCAUUAUCUCAAAAACAACGUUCUUUUCUUUUCGAACACAGAUGCUAUUACAAAAAAUAAAAUCAUUCGUGCAAAUAUGGACAAGACACACUCUAAGACAAUAAUAAGUAAUAAAGGACCGAUACCAAUUAUGCGUUCAGCGUGGCUGUGGACGCUGUAAGGAAAAUAUAUAUUUUGUUUCCGCAAUAUUGCAUUACAUCGAAGUAGUACAGACUAUAAUGGAAACUUAAGGACUCCAAUUCCGAAGGUUGAAACGUUCCUCAUAAAUCCUUGGAGAGUGGCUGUAUUUAAUGAUGCCGUGUUCUGGUCGGAUGACAUUGGCUCCUGUAUCAGUUCAACAAACAAACCUCUUCGACUGUUAAAGAAACACUGGGUACCGGUGAUUUAGAAACUCUAACAAGUCCUAGAGCCUUGACCGUCCUACACGCUUCGAGACAGCCCGCGGUGAACAAUCCCUGCGGGAACAACAACGGCCAAUGAUCUCAGUUCUGUUUAGUGACCAACGUAGAUGGACACUUAAACUACAAGUGCUUCUGUCAGCAAGGAUAUAUUUUAAACAGAGAACAAAAGAACUGUGAUACAAUUGAGGAGAUUCUAAUUUAUUCUCGAAAGUCAAAUAUUCAAGCCUUAUCGACAGAUGACUAUAAUGAUGUUUUUUCUCUAGAUGUCAACAUCGAAAGAUUUAUAGAUAUGUCGAUUUCGAUUCACGCGAAGAUAGACGCAUUUACUACACAGAGAUUAAUGACAACAGGAUUUACAGGAUUCAUAAAAGUGGUACCAACAAAGAGACCGUGUUACGUGCUUCGAAAACUUUUACAGGAGAUUUGCAGGCUGAAGGUUUAGCUGUGGAUUGGCUGUCAAAAAAUUUAUAUUACGUUCAGUGCCAACGAGGAACCUUACACGUGUUGUCAUCGCUUAAUAAAGCCUAUAAGAAAACAAUAAUGAAAACAUUAACACGACCACGUAUAUUGUUGUGCACCCACAGAGAGGGUACAUUUUAUUUUCUGAAGUAAGAAAACCAGCCUCUAUACAUAGAGGUAAUACUGACGGCAGUCGUAGACUUCAAUUUGACACCAACACUUGGUUGGCCAAACGGGCUAGCUAUAGACCAAGAUGCUGACAGAGUGUACUGGUGCGAUGGUUUACUGCACCAGGUCCAGCACGCUAACUUUGACGGUAAGGAUGUUGAAAGAUGUAAUGGACAUCGAAUUUUAUCAGACAUCCCUUUUCUAUAGCCGUACAUGCAGAAUUUAUGAAUCUAAACGAUUGGAAAACAUCAGGUCUCAUCCGCUUUGAUAAACUGACAAGAGGACAAGAAUGCAUAUUGGUAAAAGAAUUUCCGACUAAACGGAUGUUUGGUCUGGAAGUAUACAGCAAAAAAAGCUCAAAAUUUGGUAGAAGGUCAUCCCUGUGUUGACAUGUCCUAUUUUUGUUUAAAUUACGAGGGCGGCACUGAAAAUUUCGGGAAUCAAGGAAGUGACACAACAUUACUAUUUAAAAAUGUAUUUAUUUGCUUUUCGAAGUAUUCUCCGCGAAAUUUGACACAUUUUUCCAUACGAUGGAACCAAUCAUUGAUGCAACCAUUCCAUUCGGAAGUUGGGGUCUCCAAAAUGGCCGUUUUGUAGGCGUCCUUCUUCAGCGCAAUCUCUGACAACGCAAUGUAUUCUUUAUUUUAGCACGCACCAAGUAACGCAAGCCGCUUUUUGCUCUUCACAAAGCGAAUGCGGUAUCCAUCGGGAAAACAACUUUUUUACACCUAAUUUUUCAUGCAAGAUUAUUUGUAUUUGACUCAUGCCAAUGUCUAAAGUUGCCUGAAUUUCGCGGUAUGUCACAUGUCGAUC
Pieris napi is the source of this 2556-nucleotide long non-coding RNA. RefSeq lists it as uncharacterized. Lineage: Eukaryota; Metazoa; Arthropoda; Insecta; Lepidoptera; Pieridae. The transcript is spliced from 2 exons. The record is from RefSeq and is a predicted model, not a curated record.